This 289-nucleotide unclassified non-coding RNA is filed under the name plant metagenome. RNAcentral's name for it is "partial contains small subunit ribosomal RNA, internal transcribed spacer 1, and 5.8S ribosomal RNA". The stretch from base 241 to 289 matches the Rfam family "5.8S ribosomal RNA", at positions 1 to 49 of the family's 154-position model. The record is from RNAcentral.
UUUCCGUAGGUGAACCUGCGGAAGGAUCAUUAAUGAGUUGUCAUGGGGUUCGAUGCUGGCAGCCAAUUUUUGGAUGCAUGUGCUUGCCCUAACAAUCAUCUUCCAAACACCUGUGCACAUUUUUGAGGGAGUCUUGAGUUGGUUGCCGCUCUUGGGUGAUUUUCUCACAUUCCCUUAAAUCAUUAUACGCUAUUAACAAUGUUGAACGUGCUCUGUGCCGCAAGGCUAUUAAUAUAAUACAACUUUUAACAACGGAUCUCUUGGCUCUCACAUCGAUGAGGAACGCAGC